RNAcentral lists this ribosomal RNA (254 nucleotides) under uncultured bacterium. RNAcentral's name for it is "partial 16S ribosomal RNA". It matches the Rfam family "Bacterial small subunit ribosomal RNA", at positions 524 to 776 of the family's 1533-position model. The record is from RNAcentral.
CACGUAGGGGCCAAGCGUUGUCCGGAUUUAUUGGGCGUAAAGAGCUCGUAGGCGGUUGGGUAAGUCGGGUGUGAAAACUCCAGGCUCAACUUGGAGACGCCACCCGAUACUGCUCUGACUUGAGUUCGGUAGGGGAGUGGGGAAUUCCUGGUGUAGCGGUGAAAUGCGCAGAUAUCAGGAGGAACACCGGUGGCGAAGGCGCCACUCUGGGCCUGACCUGACGCUGAGGAGCGAAAGCGUGGGGAGCGAACAGG